GGGGAUGUCACGGUUUCGACGGUGAUCCGGUUCCCUAGGAUGCAAGCCGGGAGUGAGUCCGACCCCGCAAAAUCAGGCUCAAUAAACCAAACGCGAACGCCAAAACGUUUGCUCUCCCCUCGGUGGGUGGCCGUCAGGCCAUCCGCGCCGUCGCCUAAACAGCGAUAGCGGGAGCCUCUCGUGGAGCCCCCGCCCACGGGAUGAAACUAGGGGGUACCCGCCCACGGGGACAGUGGGUAAGUCCUGAAAGCCCGCCUGGCUGAUGGUACCGACAACCACAGGCUGGGUCCAGUAGAGUUUUGCUGAGGUGCACUUCACUGGAUCGAGAUGAGCGCAUCAGCUAAGCUUGUAGACGCCUAGGGCGUCCGACCAUUGGACGCGAGUUCAAUUCUCGCCAUCUCCACCA
This 406-nucleotide transfer-messenger RNA is filed under the name Candidatus Sericytochromatia. RNAcentral's name for it is "JACMPN01 sp014377495 Standard tmRNA". It matches the Rfam family "transfer-messenger RNA". Rfam says of the family: Bacterial tmRNA, also known as 10Sa RNA or SsrA, is named for its dual tRNA and mRNA-like properties. Its role is to liberate the mRNA from a stalled ribosome. Lineage: Bacteria; Bacillati. RNAcentral also lists the same sequence under 1 other name. The record is from RNAcentral.